RNAcentral lists this ribosomal RNA (334 nucleotides) under Clostridioides difficile. RNAcentral describes it as "bacterial LSU rRNA". It matches the Rfam family "Bacterial large subunit ribosomal RNA", at positions 1122 to 1464 of the family's 2925-position model. The record is from RNAcentral. Lineage: Bacteria; Bacillati; Bacillota; Clostridia; Peptostreptococcales; Peptostreptococcaceae.
UUAAAAGAGGGGGGAAAAGCGAACGGGUGGGGUGUUCCUGCGCCGAGGAUGUCCGGGGCUAAAACUUACUACGGAAGGUACGGAAGAAGUAAUGAUGGGUAGGGGAGCGUCCCAUACGGGUUGAAGCAUGACCGUAAGGACAUGUGGACAGUAUGGGAGUGAGAAUGUUGGCAUGAGUAGCGAGAUGUGGGUGAGAAUCCCACAGGCCGGAAACCCAAGGUUUCCAGGGGAAGGUUCGUCCGCCCUGGGUUAGUCGGGACCUAAGCUGAGGCCGAAAGGCGUAGGUGAUGGACAACAGGUUGAUAUUCCUGUACUACCGAUAACCGUUUGAGUG